CUUUGACCAAGAGUGUGAGUAAGAGGGUAUUGAAAAUUCUCUUAUAUUGUUGGAAGAGAAAGGAAAUGAGUUAUGAGAAUGAGAGGAGGGAAAGUGAUGUUUUUGGUGAGUUGGGGUACAUGGGGUUGGUGAAAAGAGUGAAGAAAGAAGAAGCUUGGUGAUAUGGGAGGAAGAAGAACAUGAAGGAAGAAUUAUGGAAGUGGAAGAAGAAGAUGGGCACACUAUAAAUCACCUAGCAAAGGCAAGGAGAAAAGAUGGAAGCCUUGGAGUUGGAGUUGAGAAGGAGAACAAAAUGAAGUAGAGUUAUGGGUUGAGUUGGAAAAGGUAGAAAUGAAGAAAAGG
RNAcentral lists this long non-coding RNA (342 nucleotides) under Vigna radiata. RNAcentral's name for it is "long non-coding RNA (VRAD_LNC002036)". The record is from RNAcentral. Lineage: Eukaryota; Viridiplantae; Streptophyta; Magnoliopsida; Fabales; Fabaceae.